Homo sapiens (human) is the source of this 1469-nucleotide long non-coding RNA. Ensembl annotates it as lncRNA bladder and prostate cancer suppressor, hnRNPK interacting. Its record names the gene LNC-LBCS. NCBI's taxonomy places the organism in Eukaryota, Metazoa, Chordata, Mammalia, Primates, Hominidae. The record is from Ensembl.
GGGCGGUCGCCCUGACAACGCAGACGCCAGCCCGCACAAUGACUUCCAGCUGGAGCAGCCCAGCCAGCCUGCGCGCUCACUCGCUUGCUUGCGCUGGGCUUCAGGGCGCCCGGGUUUUUCUGUGGACCUAAAUUUUCAUUUCUCUGGGAUAAAUGUCCAGGAGUGUGAUUGCUGGGUCAUAUGUAUUUGUACAGUUGAGCCGAAAUGCCUGUUCUAACAAAGAGAGCCUGGGUGGGACUGCCAAGAUGAAUAGACAUAAUCCUCGAUCUAACCACUUCACAGUUUAUCAUCGGAGUCAAGUUUGCAGAUAAACAAUUGCCAUGCAACUUUCAAGAGACGGGGUGUCAUCCUGUUGCUCAGGCUGGUCUCAAACUCCUGGCCCUAAGUGAUCCUCCUGCCUCAGCCUCUCAAAGUGCUGGGAUUACGGGUGUGAACCUAAUCGCAGAGAAAAUGGUGCCUGAGAUGAGCAAGGUCAGCAGACAAGAAGUGAGGUCAAUGUCAGGUUUCCAUGCCAGCAGCGGGAACUCUGGAUACAGUGGAGAGUCACAGCUGGUCAAACCCUGAACCGCUUGCUCCUUGAAAUGGCCAGAGAGGCCCAUCCCAGAGCCAUCUCAUCAUCUCUCCUCAGACAGGAAACCGAGAAGGAAAACAAUCAGCUCUGUUCUCUCUGGGCCGAGGGAGUGAGCUGUAAUGAGGGAGCACAGGAACGCAUUGGGCGCCCUCAGACCUGAACACACAGUUGAGAAUAACUCAUCCAGGGUUGUUGAAUGGUGGAGGAUCUUCCAAAAUCAGCAGCUAGGAGGUCGAGAACCCUUCAUGCCAUACUAAGAAGUUUCAUGCUAGGCAAAGAAGAGUGACAAGGUAUUUCAACAGGUGAAUGAUGCACUCAUGAGGAAGUCCACAGAAGGCUGUUACUGCUAUGUCUGGUGGACCCGAAAACAUGGCAGGUCAGCAGUUGGGAAGAAACGCUGGAUCUGAAGCAGGGGAAGUGAGGACAAACAGAACUUGUAAAGGCAACACGGAAUGCAUGAAAUCAAUGACAUGCAUGAUCUGCAGAAGAAGCUACUCUCCUUUGCCAUGGAGCUGCAAACGUGGCUGGCCCUGGACUUGGAGAAGCUCCGGAGUGGAAUCUGGCAGGGCCUAGAGAAGCUGUGGGCUCAGCAGCUGCUCUCUCACCACAGCAUGAGCCAGAAUCAGCAACGAUGCUUGUGAGCUGCUGCAGCCAUUGGUACCUUACGCUGACCUCCAGGGAUGAAUGGCUGCUGAUACACAUAUGCCUCUGAAUCUUGCACAAUCCUCGCUUAUGCCAACCCCAAUGAAAAGCCAUACAGGGAAUUCUGGGAAUUGUAUUUCCUGCUAAGCUAACUUGACACAAUGUAAAUUUACUGCAAACAUGAACAACACAUGGUCCUUCCAUCAAGUCUGGGGAUGAAGGUUACAAGUAAUAACAAAUAAAUGCAAUAAAGGGU